CUUAAUUUUAAUGAAAUUCAGAGGGAAAAUAAGGGAGGAAACACUCAAACUACCCUGAAGAGCCAAACCUCCCCUGCACAAACAGACAUCGAACCAGAACUAUUCAUAACAAAGGCAACAAAAUCCUAAUUAAGAUCUAAGAUCAGCAGCAGCUCAAGAGCCAUAAGGAUGUUGAACAUGCUUUUAUUGCAUAAACAUUCAGGAUUCCAUCAUUCCUUUUCAUAAUUCUAAUAAUGAUUUCUUCAUAAUGAUACUAAUUUCCUAUUUUGAUUUUAUCCAGAAGAGAC
Molecule: unclassified non-coding RNA, 287 nt
Filed under: Hevea brasiliensis (rubber tree)
Lineage: Eukaryota; Viridiplantae; Streptophyta; Magnoliopsida; Malpighiales; Euphorbiaceae
Source: RNAcentral